This 461-nucleotide ribosomal RNA is filed under the name uncultured bacterium. Its description in RNAcentral is "partial 16S ribosomal RNA". It matches the Rfam family "Bacterial small subunit ribosomal RNA", at positions 28 to 506 of the family's 1533-position model. The record is from RNAcentral.
GACGAACGCUGGCGGCGUGCUUAACACAUGCAAGUCGAACGGAAAGGCCCUUCGGGGUCCUCGAGUGGCGAACGGGUGAGUAACACGUGGGUGAUCUGCCCUGCACUUUGGGAUAAGCCUGGGAAACUGGGUCUAAUACCGAAUAGGACCACGCGCUUCAUGGUGUGUGGUGGAAAGCUUUUGCGGUGUGGGAUGGGCCCGCGGCCUAUCAGCUUGUUGGUGGGGUAAUGGCCUACCAAGGCGACGACGGGUAGCCGGCCUGAGAGGGUGACCGGCCACACUGGGACUGAGAUACGGCCCAGACUCCUACGGGAGGCAGCAGUGGGGAAUAUUGCACAAUGGGCGCAAGCCUGAUGCAGCGACGCCGCGUGAGGGAUGACGGCCUUCGGGUUGUAAACCUCUUUCAAUAGGGACGAAGCGCAAGUGACGGUACCUAUAGAAGAAACACCGGCCAACUACGU